This 253-nucleotide ribosomal RNA is filed under the name uncultured prokaryote. RNAcentral's name for it is "partial 16S ribosomal RNA". It matches the Rfam family "Bacterial small subunit ribosomal RNA", at positions 524 to 776 of the family's 1533-position model. The record is from RNAcentral.
UACGUAGGGGGCGAGCGUUGUCCGAAGUUACUGGGCGUAAAGAGCGCGUAGGCGGGCUUCUAAGUGAGAGGUGAAAGGUUCGGGCUCAACCCGGAGAGUGCCUUUCAUACUGGAAGCCUUGAGUGCGGGAGAGGCAAGUGGAAUGGUCGGUGUAGCGGUGAAAUGCGUAGAUAUCGGGAGGAAUACCCGUGGCGAAGGCGGUCCACUGGGCAUCAACUGACGCUGAGGCGCGAAAGCGUAGGUAGCAAACAGG